This 468-nucleotide ribosomal RNA is filed under the name uncultured bacterium. RNAcentral describes it as "partial 16S ribosomal RNA". It matches the Rfam family "Bacterial small subunit ribosomal RNA", at positions 28 to 507 of the family's 1533-position model. The record is from RNAcentral.
GACGAACGCUGGCGGCGUGCUUAACACAUGCAAGUCGAACGGAAAGGCCCUGCUUUUGUGGGGUGCUCGAGUGGCGAACGGGUGAGUAACACGUGAGUAACCUGCCCUUGACUUUGGGAUAACUUCAGGAAACUGGGGCUAAUAUCGGAUAGGAGCUCCUGCUGCAUGGUGGUGGUUGGUAAGUUUCGGCGGUUGGGGAUGGACUCGCGGCUUAUCAGCUUGUUGGUGGGGUAGUGGCUUACCAAGGCUUUGACGGGUAGCCGGCCUGAGAGGGUGACCGGCCACAUUGGGACUGAGAUGCGGGCCAGACUCCUACGGGAGGCAGCAGUGGGGAAUAGUGCGCAAUGGGCGGAAGCCUGAUGCAGCGACGCCGCGUGCGGGAUGACGGCCUUCGGGUUGUAAACCGCUUUCGCCUGUGACGAAGCGUGAGUGACGGUAAUGGGUAAAGAAGCACCAGCUAACUACGUG